Ooceraea biroi (clonal raider ant) is the source of this 2650-nucleotide long non-coding RNA. RefSeq lists it as uncharacterized. The record is from RefSeq and is a predicted model, not a curated record. Lineage: Eukaryota; Metazoa; Arthropoda; Insecta; Hymenoptera; Formicidae.
AAAUAGGCUUCAAAGCUAGUGACAGCGAGAGCGAGGAAUUCACGUUCCCUGAACGAAGCACUGCUAUUUGCGCUCAUAAAUGCGAGUGUGGGCGUAGACCGUAAAAAAUAUGUUGACAGUGCCACUAUGUCGACAGGGCUAGUACGCUGCUCGGUUGUCCCAUGUAUUUACCAUGGCUCAUAAAACCAUCGAAUUAGUCCGGGAAGCUAAAUAAAAAUUAGGUGAGUCUAAGAGUCGCGCGUAGAAAUUCUCUCGCGUCUCUCUCUCUCUCUCUCUUUCUGUCUUUCUCUCGUGAUGCUGAUAUUACCACCUCUAAAAUUGCACCUCUGCAUCGCUCUCACUCUCUCUGUCUCUCUUUUUCUCUCUCUCAAUCAACGUAGGUGUACAUCGCAAUUAUCAGCUGAUCGGUAAUCCUGUUGAAGUGCGUAUUAAAACUCGCUCGAAAACGGAAGUCUUUGUUCGCGAAUCAAUAUGAAACCAUGUUUCCAAAUUCACAGUGUCUGUCGGUUCUUUCACAGCGGGAUUACCCGACGGGACUUAAAUAGCUAACUGUGGACGCGAUUAUUGAUUGCAAACUGCAUCGACCCUCCUUUCACCCUCACCAACAGUGCCGAGCAAUGGACGGUGCCGUUGGCCUACUUUGAACAAAUGCGCACAAACGCGUCAUAGCGGUUUGUAGUUGCGACUGCAAUCCGCCUCACAAUUUACUUGGCCGACGGAAAAAUCCGCUUCGCUUGUGUUGACACAGCGCGCGCGGAAUCGCCGUUGCAGUCAUGUGUAAUAGCUAAUAUCUAUUUUCAUUGAUUUUCACCGCGCGCGCGUAACGCGAGGCCCUAUCGCGAAAUUGUGAUCUGAAAUUUUCACACGCGUAUGGUUAUCCCGUGUCGGCCGACACGGAGCGGACAUAGGCCAAGGCAAGCGAGCCGAUUCCAAUUUGUGGUAGAUCGCGGGCAUACGAUAAGUUUUCCAUUAUCCCGCGGUACUGAGAAUUCGCGCACGGUGAACUGCCGUCGCCCGGGACUGACGUGCUCGACUGCAUCGCGUUUCUCAAGUUUCACGUAAAAGGCCGUCUUCAUCCCGCUUGUCCGAGUGCGCGGCUCGAGUUACCCGGGCUUCGAUCGUCGGACAUCGCCAUUUGAAUACCGAAGCGUCAUUAAACGAGAUAACGAGAGAGAGAGACCUGCCCAUCUCGUCCGUGCGCUCUCGCGUGUGCGUGCGGAACCAACGCGGAAAGCCUUAUUCGCAUCGCGUCGCGUUCUGCUCGAUUUGCACGCGCGCAUAAAUCUCAUUUGGGACGACGAACGCGCAACAACGGCAUAAUGUGAAAUCCGAUUCGUUUCUAUGAUCAUCGGCGCUCGGGUAAAUCGAGCGCAGACGUUCGAACGUGACGACAUCUCGAAAAACGUACGAAAUCUCGUCACGCCUGUCGACUCUUCAAGAUGUUCCUCAGGACAGCGUGGGAAAGAGGCGAGAAGGGCGCAGGGACAUCGGGGCGCGCCUCCGCUCCUGCGACUCACGAGAGAGAGAGGGGAGGGGUGGAGAAAGAGAAAAUGAGACACAGAGAGAGAGAGAGAGAGAGAGAGAGAGAGAGAGAGAAAGAUCUGCCGAGACGCGAGAUCGAUUUAUUGCUCGUUGCAGCACGGCCGGCACUCUCCGGUGAAAUGUCGUCGCGAGCGGAGAGCUGCGCACGCGAAAGACGAGUAAAAAUACCGUUUGCCCAAACGCGGCGAUUAUUUAGCCGACGUGGUGAACUGAACGUCAGAUCGUGAGAUAAGUCUGGCUAUUAUUUUCGAUGCCCUUUCAUUUCUUAAAAGACUCUCUCGCUGUAAUAAUCAGUACAAUGCGCGACCGUACUGAAUAUUAACUGCGCUAAUUAGUCAAGGUUAAAUUGCUCAGCGAGGGAUGAUCAGCGAGGAAGUAACGGAAUAUCACCGAGGACUCCUAGCUUCGCACGUGUUUGGUAGGAAUGCCAGACGAGCUGAAAUUCGAGAGACAAUGGCUGGUAUGUUCCGUACCACUGAGAAUAAAAACGGCGGAAAUGAAACUCUGAAUAUCUGCGCGAAGCACGCACCGCGCGGAUCCUUAAUUUCUCUUAAAGGCAAUUAUCCAUUUCCGACCGUCUCACUCGCCCGGUAACUAAUAGGUCAUCAUUAUAGCGGCACUUGAUGUCUCUAUUAUUCCGAACCGUACGUUUACAUCUAUGUAUGUGCGAAAAAGAGCGACCUGCUACUGAUGUACCGUCACACUGUAAUCGUUCCGCGGGUCAAUAAGUCGCUUUUUAUGCGAACGGUGAUUUGUAAUCGCAGCUCGCUUGUAUUCGUUGCGUCUCAGAAUCUGGUUAAUCGUGCUUUUAACCGACCGGCUCACAUGUGUUUGCUUUCUACCAAGAUUACUAACAUGAUUGAGGAAUGAGAGAAAUCGUCAAUAGUUUUAAUAAAUUCUAAAUUGAAAAAUUUGAAACGUCUACACAUGAAUAAUGCAAUUACAUUAAAAAAUGUCACACAUUUAAUACGAUUUAAGAAAUAAACUACAAUUUUAUAUAUAUCGUUUUUACAAUUUUAGAUUUAACGAAUAAAUAAAAUAAAAUUCUCGGUAGUGCAAUAUUUAUGUAAAAGCUAUAUCUGCAAUACAAAGCUAUAUGUAGAGUAAA